UUAGGAAUAUUGGGCAAUGGAGGGAACUCUGACCCAGCAACGCCGCGUGAAGGAAGAAGGUUUUCGGAUUGUAAACUUCUGAUCUGUGGGAAGAAGAAAAUGACGGUACCACAGGAGAAAGCCACGGCUAACUACGUGCCAGCAGCCGCGGUAAUACGGAGGGUGCGAGCGUUAAUCGGAAUUACUGGGCGUAAAGCGCUCGUAGGUAGUAUAUCAAGUCAAGGGUGAAAUCCCCGCGCUCAACGUGGGAACUGCCUUUGAAACUGGUAGACUUGAGUGUGUGAGAGGAUAGUGGAAUUCCAGGUGUAGGAGUGAAAUCCGUAGAUAUCUGGAGGAACAUCAGUGGCGAAGGCGACUAUCUGGCACAUAACUGACACUGAGGAGCGAAAGCGUGGGUAGCAAACAGGAUUAGAUACC
Molecule: ribosomal RNA, 417 nt
Filed under: uncultured bacterium
Lineage: Bacteria
Description: bacterial SSU rRNA
Rfam family: Bacterial small subunit ribosomal RNA
Source: RNAcentral